GAAUUAAAUGGCCGCAGUAUUUUGACUGUGCAAAGGUAGCAUAAUUAUUAGUUUUUUAAUUGAAAGCUUGUAUGAAGGGUUGGACGAGAUAAAAUCUGUCUUUAUUUAAAUUAUUAUAGAAUUUAACUUUUAAGUCAAAAGGCUUAAAUGUAUGUAAAAGACGAGAAGACCCUAUAGAUCUUUAUUUAACUAAUAUUUUGAUAAUUUAGGAUUAUUUUAGUUUAAAGUUUUAGUUAAAUUUUAUUGGGGUAAUAUAAAGAUUAAAUAAAUUCUUUUUAUUUAUUACAUUGAUUUAUGAAUAUAUGAUCCGAUAUUAUUGAUUAUAAGAUUAAGUUACCUUAGGGAUAACAGCGUAAUUUUUUUGGAGAGCUCAUAUCGAUAAAAAAGUUUGCGACCUCGAUGUUGGAUUAAAAAUUAGCUUGGGUGCAGAAGCUCAAGAUUUUGGUCUGUUCGACCAUUAAAUUUUUACAUGAUCUGAGUUCAGACCGGCGUAAGCCAGGUCGGUUUCUAUCUUUACUUAUCUAAAAUAUUUUAGUACGAAAGGACCAAAUAUUUAAUAUAAUUAUAUUUAUUUUUUGAAUAAUAUU
Molecule: ribosomal RNA, 587 nt
Filed under: Cicindela lagunensis
Lineage: Eukaryota; Metazoa; Arthropoda; Insecta; Coleoptera; Carabidae
Description: partial 16S ribosomal RNA
Rfam family: Bacterial large subunit ribosomal RNA
Source: RNAcentral